CGGGUGAGUAACACGUGGAUAACCUACCUAUAAGACUGGGAUAACUUCGGGAAACCGGAGCUAAUACCGGAUAAUAUUUUGAACCGCAUGGUUCAAAAAUGAAAGACGGUCUUGCUGUCACUUAUAGAUGGAUCCGCGCUGCAUUAGCUAGUUGGUAAGGUAACGGCUUACCAAGGCAACGAUGCAUAGCCGACCUGAGAGGGUGAUCGGCCACACUGGAACUGAGACACGGUCCAG
RNAcentral lists this ribosomal RNA (237 nucleotides) under uncultured Staphylococcus sp. Its description in RNAcentral is "partial 16S ribosomal RNA". It matches the Rfam family "Bacterial small subunit ribosomal RNA", at positions 103 to 334 of the family's 1533-position model. The record is from RNAcentral. Lineage: Bacteria; Bacillati; Bacillota; Bacilli; Caryophanales; Staphylococcaceae.